AUCUAGGCGUGUUUUAUGCAUCAGCAGCACACUGCAUUACUAGUCUGCACACACAAUUAGGGCUUUAUGAUCUUUGAAGUCAGUUAAUAAAAAGAUUUAUAUAUUUGCAGUAAUAAAAGUCUGAGAAGCAAUAGGAAUAGGUGUUUCUUAGAGCUACAGUCUGAUUCUCCUUUGGCUCCUUUGUCUUCAGGUGGGCUCUCUUCAGUCCUCACCCUGAUUUGAGCACAAGAAGAAGAGAAGAAAAUCCAUCCCUGAAUGCAUGCCUAGGGACGUCUGCUUUUAUAGACAUUGCUUUUUUUUCAAACCAUAGUCCUGUGGAGGGGAAAGCACUGCAAGAAAGACCAGAUUCUGCCAUGGGUAUUAAACUGUGCAGUGUGAUUCUUCUGAUGAAUUCACAGCAGCUUCUUCAAGACUGGGACUGAGUCUGGCUCUGGUGAGCAAUGUCCGAAGGGGUGAACCUGGCCCUGAUGGACUACUCCCAAGAAGGACACUUUGCCCGGGGGUCUCAUGCCUGGUUGCCGGCUGUGCUCCACCAAGCAGGCGGGAGCCAGGUCAUGGCUGGAUGCAGGAGUGAAAGUCACAUUCAGAGAAGUGUGGAUUGAAUGAAGGAAACGGAUGGUGGGAAAUGAAGCACAGCCAACCCCCUGAUUUUCUGCAAGUUAUAAAUGCUGUACAAAAUUUUACUUUUGACACCGGAAAAUGCUUUCUCCUGUUGUUCCAAGUGACUCCAGAUGCUGAUGUACUUAGUACACAGAGCAAGUUCCCCAACUGGAAUGAAAAAGCAAGGUAGUUGAGUUUACAUUCAUCUGUCAAUAUUCCUAAGGGACAGACUGAUCAGCCUGCCAAGUUUGCUCUGCUUAUGCAUGAGAGUGUGAGCUUAAACCAACUGGAGAUUCCCACAGUAGAUUCUCCCCAGUGAAUAGGGGAUCUCUGCUGCUGUAAUCUGUUAGAGGGGGUGGGACCACUUCUGUCACAACUGUUCUCCCAUGUCCCACAAUAUCAGGAGAUGGGCUGAAUGUUUGGCAGGAAAAGAAAGACAAGGUUGGGUAGAAGUGAGUUUUAACGCAUCAGAUUUCUCCCUGACCCCAGUCCCAUUUUCAGAGGACAAAGCAGUAGCUUCUUCCUAGGGUUUUCUAUGCUUCUCAGUAUUAUAAUAUGUGAGGCCUUCACAUACACGUAUUUCCUUAUCUUUCUAUUCCAGUGAAAGAUUGUCAUCCCUAUAUGUGAAACAGAACAGGGUUAUCAAAGCAAAAAGUUUCUUUUAACUUUGGCCGAGCAGUCUGGGACAGUUGUGAGCGGACUUUUAGAAUCAUAGAGUCAUAGAAUGUCCUGAGUUGGAAGGAACCCACAAAGAUCAUCGAGUCCAACUCCUGGUCAGGACAACUCCAAGGGCAUUGCUGAAAUGCUUCUUGCACUCUGUCAGGCUUGGUGCUGUGACCACUUCUCUGGGGAGCCUGUUCCAGUGCCCAGCCACUCUCCAGGUAAAAAACUUUUUCCUGAUAUACAGCCUAAAACCUCCCUGACACAACUCCAUGCCAUUCCCUCGGGUCCUGCCACUGAUCACCAGAGAGGAGAGAUCAAGCACCUGCCCCUCAGCUUCCCCUGUGAGGAAGCUGUAAACUGCUGUUAGGUCUCCCCUCAGUCUUCCAUUCUCCAGGCUGAACAGACCAAGUGACCGCAGCUGCUCCUCAUAUGGCUUUGCCUCUUGGCCCUUGACCAUCUUCUUAGCCCUCCUUUGGACACUCUCUAAUAGCUUAACAUCUUUCUUAUAUGAUGGCACCCAAAAGUGCACACAUUAUUCAAGGUGAGGCCCCACCAGUGCAGAGCAGAGAGGGACAGUCCCCUCCCUCGACUGGCUGGCGAUGUUUUGCCCCCCAGAACAUGGUUGGCCUUCCUGGCUGCCAGAGCACUGCUGACUCAUGUUCAACUUGCCAUCAACUAGGACCCCCAAGUCCCUUUCCAGGGUGCUGCUCUCCACCCUCUUGUUCCCCCAGUUUUCAAAUAACUUGGCUUUUUUUACUUUAAAUAGCUCUGUAUUUGACUAACUGCUGUCCUUCAUUUAAGACAGUUCCAUAGGGGACCUCCCUGUAGCUAGACCAUACAAACAGUAGCAAUCUCCAUCCCAAGUACGGGAGCAAUCCCUGUAACAGAGCAGACAUGCAAGACGUGUGAGAGAAGAAACAACUAUGGCCAACAUUCAGUGCAUAUAUUCAGGAAAUAUAUGAAAGGAAAGCAGAAAAGAUGGGAGAAUCUGUAAAACAAAGGAACAAAAGAAUAUUCGAUCCUCUGGUCUGGAAGGAAACCAGGGAAUGUGUCUCUGAUGAACACUGAAAUUAAGAGCCUCUUUAGGUGAGCUCUGGGUGGCAGGAGCUGGUAAGAAUAAACAAAGGAACUGUCUCCUGAUGUUUGGCUUCUGUUCCAUCUGAGGAAACAGUCUUGUAACCAACUCAAAGAAAAAGUGGCUCCACCACAAACAACCCUUAGCACAUUGGCUCUAAUGCCAUCUUAAGGCACAAGUGUGCACAGACGAAAGCAUUUGGCUCCCAAUUGGAAAGGCAGGCCCCCAAAGCAGAUGCCAGUGGAUAGCACGUUUGAUGAUACGUGGGCUGGAUUCACUGUGUGCAUACUAUGAAGCUGGCAUAGACGGGUGCAGCAAAUCUUACAUGUCAAAUUUAAAACUGGGAGGACUCAAAAAAUACAAGUAUGGGGGGUCAGGAUGCUUUGUGCAUACAGGUCAGUCACCUUCAGACAUGUACCAUGCCCAGGGCUGCUUAGCUGGGCUCCCCUUCCUGAGCUCUCCUACUUUUGUUGCUAUCAAGUGUCUCACUGAUGAAUCUGGCCUGGCCAGUGGCAAGCUGUAGUUUCCCUCAUGGUCCACUGUGAGAACCUGGAGUUUCACCAUGGGUGGUGGUGUCUGUGAUGAGUAAGGAAUCUUGCAGAUAGGCAGAAACCAGUCCUGAUGAACCAGCACUCAAGCCAUGUCACCAAGCGUAAGCAGAACUUGUUGACCUAAGCCUCCUGGUCUCUCCUGCAAAGAAGACAGGCAAGACUGAAAAGAACUGUGGGCAAGCAGGAGGGGGCCACACACGCAGAGAAAACCAAGUCAGAGUGCCAACAGUUGAGCCACUGAGACUUUCUGAGCUCAGGAGGCUACAGGUCUAGUGGCUGAGCCUCUUGCUUCUUUGCUUUCCCACGAAUGAAGGACACUUGUGCUGGCACCAGCACAUCUAGGACCAGAAACCACAAUUAGAGACCUCCCUCUUCAGAUAUCCAAAGGGAUCCUCUGUUUGUAUCUCAAAGCAGGGACAUGGUGGUGGUAAGAAGAGGAUCAUCUCCUGCUAUUAAUAGGCAUGCUGUGCAGUGGCACCUGGAAGUAAAUGCCAGAAUGCCCUAGUCAGUGUGGGAUAUGUGUACGAAGAAUGUCAGACCAUGCAGUGGCAUCUCCUUGUGUUUAAGGGGCUUUGGGCAUGGUAACAGGACAACGUGGCAGAUUUCCAAGGGUCCUGGAUAUGGUCUAUGGGGCUUGGUGUGCCCUUCCUUGUCUGACAGCCCUUGCAGCUGUGGGAUCUGCUGUUACUCCCAUGCCUCGGGCAGCCAUUGCCUCCAGUGAGAAACAGGGAAAUGGGAGAGGCAAAUGAGUGAGAAAGGGGUAAACAGUAUUUUGCUCAAACUGAAGUGGGGAAUGUCCUUGCUCAGCAGUUGUUCUCAGCUACCUCAGUGUCCCAGGGUAAGCUCCCUUCAGAAAAACAGAAACUGAUCCAGACCAACAUCUUCUGUAAGAGAGAGCAAAGAGGAGACUAGGAUGGGAGAGCAAAUGAAUGAACCCCUUUUCAGGCUGUGUUCCUCAGAUUUUAUUGUUCAUCCUCAGUUCAGCACAAGGGAAUAAUGGCGUUUUCCUCACUUUGUACAGUGCAGGAGGAGAGCAACCGGGUUUCAAGCCUCUGGCAAUUCCUCUGAGGGUGAAUAUAUAUUCUCCCAAAACAAGGAUUCUUCCUUCCUGGGAAAGCAAAGCCAGCAGUCCAAACUGGAGUUAAAGAAUCAAAUAUAUUUACAUAAAAUACAUAAUGCAUUGUAAUAAUAAAAUAAAUAAUGAGUGCAAUUUAUGAUUGGGUAAGUUAUAGUAAUAAAAUAUGAACUAUUUAUGCAAACCAAAAUUCUUAAUCUCCCAGAGGCAAGUAUUCAGUGCAUGGAGAAACUCUUUCAAGGUGCACAGCAGAGCUGACAGCAAGCAGCACAUCCACACUUUCUCCAGGAGGGUGUAAGAGGAGGAACAGGCCAACAAAACUGGAAGCACAUCAAGUAGUUUUCCUAGCUGUUAGCAUGGGUUACCAUGCCCUGGCUAUUAUCCCCAGCUCUCAGCAGAGUUGCUGGUCACUCUGCCCCAGUAGGAAGGUUCUUGCUUCCAGUUUCUGUUGUGCUUUGCUGCCACAGUCACUUCUUCCCCCCCCCCCCCCCAUAUGAAUUGCUGCAGAGUAAGGAGAAAGACAACAGCCCAGAGGUGGACAAAAUAAAAGGCAACAAGGAGCCUUGUGGCCUACCUGCUUUCCUUUCCUUCUUUCUCCAAGCCAGAAAGUUCCUAAGCAUGAGCAAGCCAAAAUGUAACUUGGCACCAGUGCCAUAGAUAAACGUUGGUAUUUUUCCUGGCAGUUAGAAAGAAAAUGUUUCCAAGUGUCCAAGGAGACUUUUCUCUUAGAGGAUGGCCCGCGGGCUGUGUGAGUUUCUCACAGGUUGUUCUUUCUGCUGCCUGUGCAUUCCCCAGAGAGGAGGUGAGAGGGGUUUUCCUCCCUGCAAUUGCAGCAGGGGAGCCCUAAGAGCUGCUCUGGUGCUGGGGGUAAAGCUGCUCCCUGGUAUGAGCUCCCCAAGAAGUGCUGAACACAGGGACAUGCAUGCACAUCGGAAAGAGCAGGCGCAGCAAUGUGUUCUGCCCAAUAAAGCCACCUCAAGCUCUGUUGUCACUAUGGGGUAUGCUUACAAAAAAAGAGCAGGCUAGUCAGAAUAGUCAGAGAAGACAACUUACAGACCUGCCUCUUUUGAAUGCUGCAGAAAGAAAGAAAAGCCUUAUGGCAAGUUGGAGCAGCUUGUGAAGUGUAGUAGGAUAAAUAACUCCUUGCGAACAGAAGUCGAAACAAAAACAGGAUCAACAGCUGCUCUCCCACCUCACAACUUGUCCUGCCUACUCCAGGUUGAGCUCCAGGCUGAUGCCAAGUUCUCUUGCUUUGGAAGAAAAUGCUUAACUGUUUAAUCAACUGAGAUUGCUGGACAGCAACUUUUGCAGAUACACAAGCAUUUCAGGAACCAGUAGCAAUUAUGGAACGGCCAUAAUAUGGUUGUUACUUCUCAUCAUCAAAACAGAUGUACAGACAUUGAAGUGCACACUAUUUUUAGAUAUCUGGAUGUAUUCCUGAUGAAGAUUCAGCUUUCAGCCACAGUAAUUCUUCUGGUUUGAUUUUUUUUUUUCUCAACAUUAUUUAUUAUUAUUUGACCUUACAUUUGUUUCCAAGAACUCUGUCUAGGAAUAUAGCAAAAAUACCAGUACUACCAGCCAAGAAAGUAAUUCAUAUAUCCCAUACUGGAUAAUUUUUUCUUUGUACUUUUACACAGAGAAGAAACUGAAUAUAUCAUGGAUUUAGGCUGUGGGUAAACAUUAGCUACAAAAUUUUAUUUCAGAAGAAUAUUGGGAGGAAGUUAGGAUUAUCAUAGGAAAAGGACUUGACUUUUUUUUACUGGUGCCCAUGGGAAAUGCUGAUCACCUACAUGCUUCAGGAAUUCAGCAUAUGUAUGAUAGCUGUUGAGUAAUUGCAAUUAUUCCCUCUGCAGUUUAAUCUUCUUCAGCCAAAAGCAGAAUCCAAUCCCAUGGGUACAAUUUCCACAGUAACAACUACAACGAAUCGGAUGCGUUAACAUAUAUUUGGAAGGAUUUUUCUUCAUCUGGUGGAAAAGGGAAUAUGAGAGACAAAGGCCCCGUAUCAUUGACCAACUGAAUGACCAUUACUAGGCUGGUAUGAGGAUAACACUCUCUCCACAAGCAGCAGGUCUAGGUCUAUGCAGAUAGAAAUUGGUACAGUCAGAGUUUUCUUAAUAUCUGGGAUGAAAUCCUAGCUAUCAAAAUAAGAAAAUUUUCUUCCUAUAUGGAGAGAUAUUUCUUCUCAGUAUGUAUAUUGCUCAGCACUGGGGUGAUAAAUAUCAGGCUUGCUUAACAGAAGUUGGAUUUGCAGAGUGCUUAGGAAUAUUUUAUUCACCAUAAGUCUUUUUAAUGGGCUGUUGACCAACCUCUUUGCUUCAGAAAACAGUAAACCAAGUAGCUGGUCUGUUUGUUGGCUCAUAUAUCUGGAGAUGAGGGGUGACAUAUGACAUCUUGCAACUUGCAAUAUUGCCAGGUUUGCAACCUGUAGACUUCCAUAUAAAGACCAUGAAAACAGCUUUGAGUUGUUUGACACAAGGAUUUCACUGUGCUACUGUGACACUGUCUAUAAGAUACAACCCAACAUUUUCAAAAGUGGAAAGAGCUACACAAAAUUACAUGCUCCUCUAGAGUCUGAGUUAAUUUGAAGCCACAAAGCUAACCUUGGAGUCUUGUGCUGACUCCACAUACCGAAGCUUUGGAAUGACACUCCCUAUCUCUGCAACAACCCUACUAAUAGCCUCUACUUGCAAGUGGAGAAGAUUUUAAUUUAAAAUCAUGGAUUUGUCUCAUUAUUGCACAUUCAACUAAGACAAGCAGUCUUUGCAGCUGUCAUAACUUUCAUCCACAAUGAAACUGAGGAGAUGUUUGUUAAGCAUCAAACUCCAGUCCUUGGGACAAUUAACAUCUUGGCAAGUCUCCUGCGGCGAUAUCUGGUGGACAGUCAUCAGUACACCAAAUUAUGCAUGCUUGCAAUUUGAUCUUCACCAACUCAAUUUCCUUCCCUUCUUUAGGAAUUCUUUCGCUGCCUUUAUGCCCAAGGGAUAGAUGGAAAAGAUAGCUGUACACAAACUGCUUAAGCUCUGAAGCUAAUACUGAAAAGUUAAUUCUACUCCUGUUUAUACUGCUACUUUGCUCUACAAAGACUAUGUUAACAAUCUGUGAAAUUCAGCAUUAAAAAAAACCCAAAACAAACAAAAGAAAAUGUAUUUCCAUUUAUCCAAACUGGCUCUUUUAUAGUUUAUUAUGGCCUGUAUAAGAGACAAUGGCUUAUCUAUGGCAAAAAGGCAAAAUGACACACAGAGAGUUGUGAUUUGGUGGAAUUUCUAUCCUAUAAUUUGGCACUAUUUAAGCAUUUAGGAAAGCAAAUUUGAAUUAGCUGACUGUGGAGAUUAUCUUAAGUACACAAGCAUUAUCAAGGGGCAGGAGAGUGCACAGACUGUUGGUCUCUGUCACAAGUUAUAGAGCACUUUAGAGUUCACAUUUUACAGGAUAGAAUAAUCUUUUUUAGUCAAAAAAAAAUAAAAGGAAGCUUCUGAGGAAGCAAAUAGAACUUUAUUGUCAAUUUAAGCAUUCUGGUUUAGAUUAUUAAUUAUACUUAUGUGGUAUCUGUAGAAAUAUUUUUUAGGUAUUUGUGAAAUUUGACAUCUUUAGGAAAGUUUAAUGUCUUUAUUACUUUCGGCAGACCUUUGGAAGUUAAAGUCGUUCAUCUCAGAGACAAUAUUUUUCUGUAUUCUGUGAAUUUCUGUGUGAGAGUCAUUGAAAUGGAAACUGUUGGGAACUACCACUGCUUUUCUCUUGUUGGGUUUCUCCAGGAAAGGUCAGGGCAGUCUGCCAACAUAGUAAUUGGGCAACAUCAUUUUAAAGACCCAAGUUCUCACUGACACUGAAACAGUAAUAGUAGAUGAAACAUUAGGAGAAAUUGUACAGCAAAAGCAGAAUGAAAUUUCUAGACUGGAUUUAACAGAGAUGAGGGUUAAGAAGGUUUAGUAAGGUAGAGGAAAUAGAAGUUGAUUUCUAGUAAGUGGUCUUUCAGCUCCAGGAACUGGACCAAAUAACUCCUAUUUAUGCCUGACAUUGUACCCCCACUUCAAAGCCUAUACCUGCAAUGACAGCUUGUGUUACUCAAUAAAUGGCUUUUUUUCUCCCUAGAAAACAAGCUAGGACAUCCAAUUCCCUAAGCCCCAGUCAGUAAAUAGUAUAAUUUAAGCUACAGUGUCAGUUCCAGAUACAUUAGAAAAUGACAGAUUUAAGACUCUCUAGGCAAUCUUUUUUUGUCCCUCCCCAUGUGCAUAUGCUUUCUUACAAACCCUUCCAUGACACAGUCAUAUUUUAGACUUUCCCACAGGAUGCAUGCCUCAUUCUGUACAACACAGGAUAAUCACACCCAGUGGCAGAAAUAAAUUAGCACAGCACUCUUAAUCUGGUAUUUCCUAAUUUUCCUAAUUUCCUUAUCCUUCAAUGCUGCCCUAAUCUAAACAAUAUUCUUUUAAUGUAAUUUUUAAAUGUUAUCAUUUGAAUAUAUAUGUAUGCACAUUUGUGUAUCUCUCCAUCUAUCUGGAUCUGUUAAUGUAUUGGUAAACACAAAAGAAAAAGAUAAAA
Molecule: long non-coding RNA, 8503 nt
Organism: Pseudopipra pipra
Lineage: Eukaryota; Metazoa; Chordata; Aves; Passeriformes; Pipridae
Exons: 2
Source: RefSeq, a predicted model, not a curated record